This 497-nucleotide ribosomal RNA is filed under the name uncultured bacterium. RNAcentral's name for it is "partial 16S ribosomal RNA". It matches the Rfam family "Bacterial small subunit ribosomal RNA", at positions 28 to 507 of the family's 1533-position model. The record is from RNAcentral.
GAUGAACGCUGGCGGCGUGCCUAAUACAUGCAAGUCGAGCGAACAGACGAGGAGCUUGCUCCUCUGACGUUAGCGGCGGACGGGUGAGUAACACGUGGAUAACCUACCUAUAAGACUGGGAUAACUUCGGGAAACCGGAGCUAAUACCGGAUAAUAUAUUGAACCGCAUGGUUCAAUAGUGAAAGACGGUUUUGCUGUCACUUAUAGAUGGAUCCGCGCCGCAUUAGCUAGUUGGUAAGGUAACGGCUUACCAAGGCAACGAUGCGUAGCCGACCUGAGAGGGUGGUCGGCCACACGGGAACUGAACCACGGUCCAGACUCCUGCGGGAGGCAGCAGUAGGGAAUCUUCCGCAAUGGGCGAAAGCCUGACGGAGCAACGCCACGUGAGUGAUGAAGGUCUUCGGAUCGUAAAACUCUGUUAUUAGGGAAGAACAAAUGUGUAAGUAACUAUGCACGUCUUGACGGUACCUAAUCAGAAAGCCACGGCUAACUACGUG